This 253-nucleotide ribosomal RNA is filed under the name uncultured bacterium. RNAcentral describes it as "partial 16S ribosomal RNA". It matches the Rfam family "Bacterial small subunit ribosomal RNA", at positions 524 to 776 of the family's 1533-position model. The record is from RNAcentral.
UACGGAGGGGGCUAGCGUUGUUCGGAAUUACUGGGCGUAAAGCGCACGUAGGCGGAUCUGUAAGUCAGGGGUGAAAUCCCGGGGCUCAACCUCGGAACUGCCUUUGAUACUGCAAAUCUCGAGUCCGGAAGAGGUGAGUGGAAUUCCUAGUGUAGAGGUGAAAUUCGUAGAUGUUCGGAAGAACACCAGUGGCGAAGGCGGCUCACUGGUCCGGUACUGACGCUGAGGUGCGAAAGCGUGGGGAGCAAACAGG